Molecule: ribosomal RNA, 727 nt
Filed under: uncultured Acidobacteriota bacterium
Lineage: Bacteria; Pseudomonadati; Acidobacteriota
Description: bacterial SSU rRNA
Rfam family: Bacterial small subunit ribosomal RNA
Source: RNAcentral
CCCCGCAAGGGGUAACUGAGUGGCGAACGGGUGAGUAACACGUGGGUGACCUGCCUUCGAGUGGGGGAUAACAUCCCGAAAGGGGUGCUAAUACCGCAUGAAAUCCUGCCUUUGAAGAGGCGGUGAUUAAAGCUGGGGAUCGUAAGACCUGGCGCUUGAAGAGGGGCCCGCGUCCGAUUAGCUAGUUGGUGGGGUAACGGCCUACCAAGGCGACGAUCGGUAGCCGGCCUGAGAGGGCGGACGGCCACACUGGGACUGAGACACGGCCCAGACUCCUACGGGAGGCAGCAGUGGGGAAUUGUUCGCAAUGGGCGAAAGCCUGACGACGCAACGCCGCGUGGAGGACGAAGAUUUUCGGAUCGUAAACUCCUUUCGAUCGGGACGAAUGACUGGUGACCUAACACGUCAUCAGAGUGACGGUACCGAGAGAAGAAGCCCCGGCUAACUCCGUGCCAGCAGCCGCGGUAAUACGGGGGGGGCAAGCGUUGUUCGGAAUUACUGGGCGUAAAGGGCGCGUAGGCGGCCUGCUAAGUCAUACGUGAAAUCCCUCGGCUCAACCGGGGAACUGCGUGUGAUACUGGCGGGCUUGAAUUCGGGAGAGGGAUGUGGAAUUCCAGGUGUAGCGGUGAAAUGCGUAGAUAUCUGGAGGAACACCGGUGGCGAAGGCGGCAUCCUGGACCGAGAUUGACGCUGAGGCGCGAAAGCUAGGGGAGCAAACGGGAUUAGA